This 73-nucleotide transfer RNA is filed under the name Agrilus planipennis (emerald ash borer). It matches the Rfam family "tRNA". Rfam says of the family: Transfer RNA (tRNA) molecules are approximately 80 nucleotides in length. Their secondary structure includes four short double-helical elements and three loops (D, anti-codon, and T loops). The record is from Rfam by way of RNAcentral. Lineage: Eukaryota; Metazoa; Arthropoda; Insecta; Coleoptera; Buprestidae.
UCUCUUGUAGCUUAGCGAUAAGAGCAUUGGUGCGUAAAGCCAAAGGUCCCGGGUUCGAUUCCUGACCGGGGGU